GAUGAACGCUGGCGGCGUGCUUAACACAUGCAAGUCGAACGAAGCACUUUGGACAGAUUCUUCGGAUGAAGUCCUUAGUGACUGAGUGGCGGACGGGUGAGUAACGCGUGGGUAACCUGCCUCAUACAGGGGGAUAACAGUUAGAAAUGGCUGCUAAUACCGCAUAAGCGCACAGAGGCGCAUGCUUCAGUGUGAAAAACUCCGGUGGUAUAAGAUGGGGCCCCGCGUUGGAUUAGCUAGUUGGCAGGGGCAGCGGCCUACCAAGGCGACGAUCCAUAGCCGGCCUGAGAGGGUGACGGCCACAUUGGGACUGAGACACGGGCCCAGACUCCUACGGGAGGCAGCAGUGGGGAAUAUUGCACAAUGGGGAAACCCUGAUGCAGCGA
RNAcentral lists this ribosomal RNA (386 nucleotides) under uncultured bacterium. RNAcentral's name for it is "bacterial SSU rRNA". It matches the Rfam family "Bacterial small subunit ribosomal RNA", at positions 28 to 394 of the family's 1533-position model. The record is from RNAcentral.